Molecule: long non-coding RNA, 299 nt
Organism: Cyanistes caeruleus (blue tit)
Lineage: Eukaryota; Metazoa; Chordata; Aves; Passeriformes; Paridae
Source: RefSeq, a predicted model, not a curated record
CUCUCUUGUUACGAGUGUGUGGGACCUUUUGUUCGGCCUGUUUGUUCCGGUAGUGGAGCCGGGACCCGGGAGCGCCCGGCUGGAGCAGGAACUGGGCUCAGACAAUGACAGACUGACCCCCUGAUCCCAGUGCCUGUUCUUUGCUGUACUCAGGAAUCCUCUCCACUCCUGAUAUGGAGCAGCCAUAUGGUUGAGUUGGCACAGGCUCAACACUGGCAUCAGAAACUGCAAAGACAAAAUCCCAGCAAGACCAGACUCUUCAAGGACUUAAACUAAUAAACUCAAGGAAUUUCUACUGA